RNAcentral lists this unclassified non-coding RNA (345 nucleotides) under soil metagenome. RNAcentral's name for it is "partial contains 5.8S ribosomal RNA, internal transcribed spacer 2, and large subunit ribosomal RNA". The stretch from base 1 to 120 matches the Rfam family "5.8S ribosomal RNA", at positions 35 to 154 of the family's 154-position model. The record is from RNAcentral.
GAUGAAGAACGUAGCGAAAUGCGAUAAGUAAUGUGAAUUGCAGAAUUCAGUGAAUCAUCGAAUCUUUGAACGCACAUUGCGCCCAUUAGUAUUCUAGUGGGCAUGCCUGUUCGAGCGUCAUUUCAACCAUCAAGCCCUAUUUGCUUGGCGUUGGGAGACUUGUAGGUCUGGCCUGCAAGCUCCUGAAAUAGAUCGGCGGAGUCGUGGCGACCCUCAGCGUAGUAAUUCUUCUCGCUUUAGGUGUCGGCGCUGGCGUUUAGCCGCUAAACCCCCUAUUUCUUUUAGUCUUGACCUCGGAUCAGGUAGGAAUACCCGCUGAACUUAAGCAUAUCAAUAAGCGGAGGA